UACAGAGGUCUCGAGCGUUGUUCGGAUUCAUUGGGCGUAAAGGGCGCGUAGGCGGCGGGGUAAGUCUGGUGUGAAAUCUCGGAGCUCAACUCCGAAAUUGCACUGGAUACUGCUCUGCUAGAGGGCUGGAGAGGAGAUCGGAAUUCACGGUGUAGCAGUGAAAUGCGUAGAUAUCCGGAGGAACACCGGUGGCGAAGGCGGCUUCCUGGACCGACACUGACGCUGAGGCGCGAAAGCUAGGGGAGCAAACGGG
RNAcentral lists this ribosomal RNA (253 nucleotides) under uncultured bacterium. Its description in RNAcentral is "partial 16S ribosomal RNA". It matches the Rfam family "Bacterial small subunit ribosomal RNA", at positions 524 to 776 of the family's 1533-position model. The record is from RNAcentral.